This 74-nucleotide transfer RNA is filed under the name Nippostrongylus brasiliensis. It matches the Rfam family "tRNA". From Rfam's summary of the family: Transfer RNA (tRNA) molecules are approximately 80 nucleotides in length. The record is from Rfam by way of RNAcentral. Lineage: Eukaryota; Metazoa; Nematoda; Chromadorea; Rhabditida; Heligmosomidae.
GGCGCCAUGGCUCAGUCGGUUAGAGCGUGGAUCUAAUAAUCCCAAGGUCGCCAGUUCGACCCCUGCUGGUGGCA